This 365-nucleotide ribosomal RNA is filed under the name uncultured Bacillus sp. Its description in RNAcentral is "partial 16S ribosomal RNA". It matches the Rfam family "Bacterial small subunit ribosomal RNA", at positions 974 to 1325 of the family's 1533-position model. The record is from RNAcentral. Lineage: Bacteria; Bacillati; Bacillota; Bacilli; Caryophanales; Bacillaceae.
CCAGGUCUUGACAUCCUCUGACAACUNUAGAGAUAGAGCGUUCCCCUUCGGGGGACAGAGUNACAGGUGGUGCAUGGUUGUCGUCAGCUCGUNUCGUGAGAUGUUNGGUUAAGUCCCGCAACGAGCGCAACCCUUGAUNUUAGUUGCCAGCAUUUAGUUGGGCACUNUAAGGUGACUGCCGGUGACAAACCCGGAGGAAGGUGGGGAUGACGUCAAAUCAUCAUGCCCCUUAUGCCCUGGGCUACACACGUGNUACAAUGGAUGGUACAAAGGGCUGCAAGACCGCGAGGUCAAGCCAAUCCCAUAAAACCAUUCUCAGUUCGGAUUGUAGUCUGCAANUCGCNUAGCAUGAAGNNUGGAAUUCG